This 4721-nucleotide long non-coding RNA is filed under the name Vitis vinifera (wine grape). Its description in RNAcentral is "long non-coding RNA (VVIN_LNC000961)". The record is from RNAcentral. Lineage: Eukaryota; Viridiplantae; Streptophyta; Magnoliopsida; Vitales; Vitaceae.
UUGGGCUUUGUGGAGCCUAGUUUUGUUUGAUCCGGUUUGACGACCCGACCCGAAUAAUAUUGCAUGACCUUUUUAAUGGGAGAUUUAUUGAGGCCUGUUGGGCCCGUUUAGCCCAUUGUGGAACCAUCUUUUGCAAUUAGGGUUUUUUAGUAUGGUAGGGUUGCCGUGCUAUAUAUAUAUAGAGAAUAUUGUAGCCGCCAAGUUGUACUCUGUAUUCUUCCCUGAUAAUAGUGAUAUCCCUGCAACUCCGUGGACGUAGGCAAAUUGCCGAACCACGUAAAUACUGUCUUGUGCGUGUGAUUGUUUUUCUUUGGCGUGUGUUUUUCCUCUAAUUUUUUGUUUCUCACGGGUUGGGAAUUCGGUUUAAUUCCCUACAACUGGUAUCAGAGCCUAGGGUUAGGUUUGAGUGGGAGCAAUGGCAGAGGAAGCAGGAAAGGCGUCUGGAAUAGAAAAGUUUGAUGGCACAGACUUUGCGUAUUGGAGGAUGCAGAUUGAAGAUUAUCUCUAUGGGAGAAAAUUACAUCUGCCUCUUUUGGGGACAAAACCUGAGAGUAUGAAGGCUGAGGAAUGGGCGCUUCUUGACAGACAGGUUCUAGGAGUUAUUAGGUUAACUCUGUCUAGGUCUGUUGCACACAAUGUUGUAAAGGAGAAGACCACAACAGAUCUGAUGAAGGCUUUGUCCGGUAUGUAUGAAAAGCCGUCCGCAAACAAUAAGGUGCAUCUGAUGAAGAAAUUGUUUAAUUUGAAGAUGGCAGAGAAUGCAUCAGUAGCACAACAUCUGAAUGAAUUUAAUACAAUCACAAAUCAAUUGUCGUCUGUAGAAAUUGAUUUUGAUGAUGAGAUUCAUGCUCUGAUCGUCUUGGCUUCUUUGCCAAAUAGUUGGGAGGCAAUGAGGAUGGCAGUAAGCAAUUCUACGGGAAAGGAAAAACUCAAGUACAAUGAUAUACGAGAUUUAAUUCUGGCUGAGGAGAUUCGCCGAAGAGAUGCAGGUGAAACCUCAGGAUCUGGUUCUGCCCUAAACCUUGAGACAAGAGGUAGAGGUAAUAACAGAAAUUCAAAUCAAGGUAGAUCAAAUUCCAGAAAUUCUAAUCGGAACAGAAGCAAAUCUAGAUCAGGCCAACAAGUACAAUGCUGGAAUUGUGGGAAAACAGGUCACUUUAAAAGGCAAUGCAAAAGCCCUAAGAAGAAGAAUGAAGAUGAUUCUGCUAAUGCUGUAACAGAAGAGGUACAGGAUGCAUUACUUCUUGCAGUAGACAGUCCACUUGAUGAUUGGGUUUUGGAUUCAGGAGCUUCGUUUCAUACCACUCCACACCGAGAAAUCAUACAGAAUUAUGUUGCAGGUGAUUUUGGUAAGGUAUAUUUGGCUGAUGGUUCAGCCUUGGAUGUUGUGGGUCUGGGAGAUGUCCGGAUAUCGUUGCCCAAUGGGUCUGUUUGGUUACUGGAGAAGGUUCGACAUAUUCCUGACCUGAGGAGGAAUCUGAUUUCUGUUGGACAACUUGAUGAUGAAGGACAUGCAAUACUAUUUGUUGGUGGUACUUGGAAGGUUACAAAGGGAGCUAGGGUAUUGGCUCGUGGAAAGAAGACUGGCACUCUGUAUAUGACCUCAUGUCCAAGAGACACAAUUGCAGUUGCUGAUGCAAGUACUGAUACAAGCCUAUGGCACCGCAGACUUGGUCACAUGAGUGAGAAAGGGAUGAAGAUGUUGCUAUCAAAAGGAAAACUACCAGAAUUGAAGUCCAUUGAUUUUGACAUGUGUGAAAGUUGCAUCUUAGGAAAGCAAAAAAAGGUGAGCUUCUUGAAAAUUGGCAGGACACCGAAGGCUGAAAAAUUGGAACUAGUACACACUGAUUUGUGGGGGCCUUCUCCGGUUGCAUCCCUAGGAGGUUCAAGGUACUACAUCACCUUUAUUGAUGACUCAAGUAGAAAGGUAUGGGUUUAUUUUCUGAAAAAUAAAUCUGAUGUAUUUGUAACUUUUAAGAAGUGGAAGGCCAUGGUUGAGACAGAAAUAGGUUUGAAAGUAAAAUGUUUGAGGUCAGAUAAUGGAGGAGAGUACAUAGAUGGAGGAUUCAGUGAGUAUUGUGCUGCACAGGGAAUUAGGAUGGAGAAGACCAUUCCUGGGACACCACAGCAGAAUGGUGUGGCUGAGCGCAUGAACAGAACUCUCAAUGAGCGUGCUAGAAGUAUGAGGUUGCAUGCUGGACUACCAAAAACUUUUUGGGCUGAUGCUGUUAGCACUGUUGCUUACCUGAUAAACCGAGGACCAUCAGUUCCCAUGGAGUUCAGACUUCCUGAGGAGGUUUGGAGCGGUAAAGAGGUGAAGUUUUCACAUUUAAAAGUUUUUGGUUGUGUUUCUUAUGUUCAUAUUGAUUCUGAUGCUCGUAGUAAACUUGAUGCAAAGUCAAAAAUAUGUUUUUUCAUUGGCUAUGGUGAUGAGAAAUUUGGCUAUAGGUUUUGGGAUGAACAAAACAGGAAAAUCAUCAGAAGUAGAAAUGUGAUAUUUAAUGAACAGGUUAUGUACAAGGAUAGGUCAACUGUAACGUCAGAUGUUACAGAGAUAGAUCAAAAGAAAUCUAAGUUUGUCAACUUAGAUGAAUUGACUGAAAGUACUGUCCAAAAAGGGGGUGAAGAAGAUAAGGAGAAUGUAAAUUCACAGGUAGAUCUGAGUACACCUGUAGUUGAAGUUCGCAGAUCUUCUAGAAACACUAGACCUCCGCAACGUUAUUCACCUGUUUUAAAUUAUCUCCUGUUGACUGAUGGUGGUGAGCCAGAGUGUUAUGAUGAAGCCUUGCAAGAUGAGAAUUCAAGCAAGUGGGAGUUAGCCAUGAAGGAUGAGAUGGAUUCCCUAUUGGGGAAUCAGACAUGGGAACUGACUGAAUUGCCAGUAGGAAAGAAGGCUUUGCACAACAAGUGGGUAUACAGAAUAAAGAAUGAGCAUGAUGGUAGCAAACGUUACAAGGCCAGAUUAGUUGUUAAAGGGUUCCAGCAGAAGGAGGGCAUUGACUACACAGAGAUAUUUUCUCCAGUUGUGAAGAUGUCAACAAUUAGACUUGUACUUGGAAUGGUGGCCGCAGAAAACUUACAUCUUGAGCAGUUAGAUGUGAAGACAGCAUUCCUUCAUGGUGACUUGGAGGAAGACCUUUACAUGAUUCAGCCAGAAGGGUUCAUUGUUCAGGGACAAGAGAAUCUAGUCUGCAAACUGAGAAAGAACUUGUAUGGCCUUAAACAAGCUCCUAGACAGUGGUACAAGAAGUUUGACAAUUUUAUGCAUAGAAUUGGGUUCAAGAGAUGUGAAGCUGAUCAUUGUUGUUAUGUUAAGUCCUUUGACAACUCUUACAUCAUAUUACUGUUGUAUGUGGAUGAUAUGCUUAUUGUAGGGUCUGACAUUGAGAAGAUUAAUAAUCUGAAGAAGCAAUUGUCCAAACAGUUUGCAAUGAAGGAUUUGGGAGCUGCAAAGAAAAUCCUUGGUAUGAGAAUCAUUAGAGAUAAGGCUAAUGGUACAUUGAAGCUUUCACAGUCAGAGUAUGUGAAGAAAGUUCUCAGCAGGUUCAACAUGAAUGAAGCUAAACCAGUGAGCACACCCUUGGGUAGUCAUUUCAAACUAAGCAAAGAACAGUCACCAAAGACAGAAGAAGAAAGGGACCAUAUGAGCAAGGUGCCCUAUGCCUCAGCUAUUGGCAGCUUGAUGUAUGCUAUGGUGUGUACAAGACCAGACAUUGCACAUGCAGUGGGAGUUGUGAGCAGAUUCAUGAGUAGGCCUAGAAAGCAGCAUUGGGAGGCAGUCAAGUGGAUUUUAAGAUAUCUGAAGGGUUCAUUAGAUACAUGUCUUUGCUUCACAGGUGCAAGUUUGAAACUGCAGGGUUAUGUAGAUGCUGAUUUUGCUGGUGAUAUUGAUAGUAGAAAGAGUACUACUGGGUUUGUUUUUACUCUAGGUGGUACAGCUAUAUCAUGGACUUCAAAUCUACAGAAGAUUGUUACUUUAUCUACUACAGAAGCUGAGUAUGUUGCAGCAACUGAAGCUGGAAAGGAGAUGAUUUGGCUACAUGGUUUCUUAGAUGAAUUGGGUAAGAAGCAGGAGAUGGGCAUUCUACACAGUGACAGUCAGAGUGCAAUUUUUCUUGCCAAAAUUCGGCUUUUCAUUCAAAGUCGAAACAUAUACAAACAAAAUACCACUUUAUUCGUUAUCUUGUUGAGGAUAAACUGGUAAUACUUGAGAAGAUUUGUGGAUCUAAGAACCCUGCAGACAUGUUGACUAAGGGUGUCACUAUUGAGAAGUUGAAGCUGUGCGCAGCUUCAAUUGGUCUUCUAGCUUGAGGACAGGAGGAUGAGUUGUAGGGAUGAGGGAUCGUUUCUUGGAGGAUAGCGGUUUGAUGUUGGUGAUUGGACUAGUCUCCAAGUGGGAGAUUUGUUGGGCUUUGUGGAGCCUAGUUUUGUUUGAUCCGGUUUGACGACCCGACCCGAAUAAUAUUGCAUGACCUUUUUAAUGGGAGAUUUAUUGAGGCCUGUUGGGCCCGUUUAGCCCAUUGUGGAACCAUCUUUUGCAAUUAGGGUUUUUUAGUAUGGUAGGGUUGCCGUGCUAUAUAUAUAUAGAGAAUAUUGUAGCCGCCAAGUUGUACUCUGUAUUCUUCCCUGAUAAUAGUGAUAUCCCUGCAACUCCGUGGACGUAGGCAAAUUGCCGAACCACGUAAAUACUGUCUUGUGCGUGUGAUUGUUUUUCUUUGGCG